AGUGAACGCUGGCGGUAGGCCUAACACAUGCAAGUCGAACGGCAGCACAGGAAAGCUUGCUCUCUGGGUGGCGAGUGGCGGACGGGUGAGGAAUACAUCGGAAUCUACUCUGUCGUGGGGGAUAACGUAGGGAAACUUACGCUAAUACCGCAUACGACCUACGGGGGAAAGCAGGGGACCUUCGGGCCUUGCGCGAUUGAAUGAGCCGAUGUCGGAUUAGCUAGUCGGUGGGGUAAUGGCCCACCAAGGCGACGAUCCGUAGCUGGUCUGAGAGGACGAUCAGCCACACUGGGACUGAGACACGGCCCAGACUCCUACGGGAGGCAGCAGUGGGGAAUCUUGCGCAAUGGGCGAAAGCCUGACGCAGCGACGCCGCGUGCGGGAAGAAGGCCUUCGGGUUGUAAACCGCUUUCAGGAGGGACGAAGCCACUCAGGUUAAUAGCCUAGAGGGUGACGGUACCUCCAGAAGAAGCCCCGGCUAACUACGUGCCAGCCGCCGCGGUAA
RNAcentral lists this ribosomal RNA (505 nucleotides) under uncultured bacterium. RNAcentral's name for it is "partial 16S ribosomal RNA". It matches the Rfam family "Bacterial small subunit ribosomal RNA", at positions 29 to 523 of the family's 1533-position model. The record is from RNAcentral.